Helicoverpa zea (corn earworm) is the source of this 281-nucleotide long non-coding RNA. RefSeq lists it as uncharacterized. The record is from RefSeq and is a predicted model, not a curated record. Lineage: Eukaryota; Metazoa; Arthropoda; Insecta; Lepidoptera; Noctuidae. The transcript has 3 exons.
CGGUGGAAUUUUAUUAUUUUUAUUGUAGUAGUGUUUACGUUCAAUAUUACGGAGUUCGAAUGCAGAAGAAGCCACAGGAAAUUACACGGAAAUGAGAACAAAACAGAUUUCGAUAGGCACAGUUUCGUUUUAGAAAGUCCGGUAGAGAAGAGCAUCUUAGAUUUCGACCUCAGCGCAACUGAUGUGAUUGACAAUGCAAGUGGUAUGUUUAAAAAAUUUUUUGGCAAAUGGCUAACUCACAAAAAACUUACUGGUUUUGAUCCUGGCUGGUAUAGGUGAAC